UACAAAAACAGAGUAUUGAAAAGGACCGCGUGGCAUCAGUUGGUGGAAAUAUUCUCAAAAGAAGGUUGCUCAGAGGAGCAAAAGAAAAUUCUUGGGAAUACAUUGCAAAAGAGAUGGAAGAGUCUGCGUGACAAUUUUGCCAGGGAAUUGA
Molecule: long non-coding RNA, 151 nt
Organism: Homalodisca vitripennis (glassy-winged sharpshooter)
Lineage: Eukaryota; Metazoa; Arthropoda; Insecta; Hemiptera; Cicadellidae
Exons: 2
Source: RefSeq, a predicted model, not a curated record